This 253-nucleotide ribosomal RNA is filed under the name uncultured bacterium. RNAcentral's name for it is "partial 16S ribosomal RNA". It matches the Rfam family "Bacterial small subunit ribosomal RNA", at positions 524 to 776 of the family's 1533-position model. The record is from RNAcentral.
UACAGGGGGUGCAAACGUUGCUCGGAAUCAUUGGGCGUAAAGCGCACGUAGGUGGUCGUUUAAGUCGGAUGUGAAAGCCCUGGGCUCAACUCAGGAAGUGCACCCGAAACUGAUCGGCUUGAGUACGAAAGAGGGUCGCGGAAUUCCCGGUGUAGAGGUGAAAUUCGUAGAUAUCGGGAGGAACACCAGCGGCGAAGGCGGCGACCUGGUUCGAUACUGACACUGAGGUGCGAAAGCGUGGGGAGCAAACAGG